Astatotilapia calliptera (eastern happy) is the source of this 1453-nucleotide long non-coding RNA. The record is from Ensembl. Lineage: Eukaryota; Metazoa; Chordata; Actinopteri; Cichliformes; Cichlidae.
UAAUACAGUUGAAUCUGUGUGAAAUACCUGAUGCAAAAUACUCAGUGACACAGGUAAGUUGCCUGCUCCUCUGGGAGGAUAUAAACUCACUUCCCUCAAGCUGCAGUGCUUAAAUAAUUUAACACAUAAAAGACUACGUGAGGGAUGUGUUGACUGAAAAUCAAUUGGAUGUCCACAGUCUCAUAUGUCUCUUUCGCAGCGUUGGCACUAGCACUUCUUUAAAAGGUGCAAUAGGUUUUCCCUGCAGGGGCUCUACUCAGAAAGUACUUCAGGAAUCCAGCACACAGCAACAGUGUGCUUCCUUACAACAUUUAAGAGACAGGUCACUGAAGCUAUGACUUUCAGUUAUACCAGUCUUUAAAAUUUUAACCUUGACUGUGAAAAACAGAGGAAACAAAGGGACUACUCUGAGCCUUAUCAUGAACCAGUAGUGAACAAAAAAUUCACAAAGUGAGCCCAAAACUUUUGUUUUGUAUAAUGUUCAGUAAUCUCGUUGGAUUGUAAUUACGGAAGAGGAGUUCAUUUGAGAACAAUGCUAUUUUGGAAUAAUCCCUUCAGACACUACCACAGACUCAUUAUAAUCCUAAAAGUCAUAGAGGCUUUGCAGUUGGGACACAAAACUCCAAGCAAAACAGACUGAAGUAGCCGCGCAUUCUUAACUCAGACACACUGGUGCUGCUCAGUUUCUUGAUGAAGGUGGUUUGUAUUCCCAGUAGGUAGAAAUAUUCUCAAUAUUACGCAUGUAUUUUUCCUUCUUGUGUCAACCUUGCCCAAACCCACAGGAAGAUCUUGAUUAUUGCUUUUUUUUUUUUUUUUUUUUUUUUUUUUUUUGUUAUAUCAAAGUCUCAUAAAAAUCACAAGGAGCUCUUUCAAAUACACAAUGUUUUGUGUCAUUUAUGACCCCUAAUUUCUUUGCUUCUAAGGCGAAAUAUUUUCUUGGAAACUGAAGAAGUAGAGAAGGAAAGAAGUGUCAGGCUUGCAGCGUAUGAACAGUAUGUGAAAGUCAUAUUUUAAAUUAAAAUCUAGCAAAGACCUGACACAGAAACUGAGAAAUGUAUCUGACCCUUUUGUUUAUUAAUCUAAAGUUCACUGAAGAAGCAUCCUAAAUGGUCUUUGUUCAAGGGAGGCUGCAAAGAAGCCAUUCUUAAGGAUAGGAAAUUUGGGGAAAAAAGAUUGAAGUAUGCCAAUUUAUACAAGAACUGGAUUGAUAUUAAGUGACAGUGGCAUGGAGUGAUUAAUCCACCAUACAAUACUACAGGUUUUUUUUUUUUUUGUUUUUUGGCAUGACUGAUCCCAAAUACACUCACAAUGAGGAAACAUCACAACUGGAUAGAAAGAGAAAAAAAAAAAAAAAAAAACCGGUCACAGUUAGUAACUAUCAGUCAUGGAUUGGCCUCCCCAGAGCUCAGACUUCAACUGCACUUUGAAUGUCCUUCAAGAAGUAUGAAGAAGU